CAGGCCUAACACAUGCAAGUCGAACGAGAAAGUGGAGCAAUCCAUGAGUAAAGUGGCGACCGGGUGAGUAACACGUGACUAACCUACCUUCAAGUGGGGGAUAACCUCGGGAAACCGGGGCUAAUACCGCAUAACAUCUUUGGAGUGGAAAUUCUGGAGAUCAAAGGAGCAAUUCGCUGGAAGAGGGGGUCGCGGCUGAUUAGCUAGUUGGCGGGGUAAUGGCCCACCAAGGCUUUGAUCGGUAGCCGGCCUGAGAGGGCGCACGGCCACACUGGAACUGAAACACGGUCCAGACUCCUACGGGAGGCAGCAGUGGGGAAUUUUGCGCAAUGGGGGAAACCCUGACGCAGCAACGCCGCGUGGAGGAUGAAGCCCCUUGGGGUGUAAACUCCUUUCGAUCGGGACGAUUAUGACGGUACCGGAUGAAGAAGCACCGGCUAACUCUGUGCCAGCAGCCGCGGUAAUAC
Molecule: ribosomal RNA, 467 nt
Filed under: uncultured Acidobacteriota bacterium
Lineage: Bacteria; Pseudomonadati; Acidobacteriota
Description: bacterial SSU rRNA
Rfam family: Bacterial small subunit ribosomal RNA
Source: RNAcentral